GACGAACGCUGGCGGCGUGCUUAACACAUGCAAGUCGAACGCUGACGCUUGGUGCUUGCACUGGGUGGAUGAGUGGCGAACGGGUGAGUAAUACGUGAGUAACCUGCUCUUGACUCUGGGAUAAGCCUGGGGAACUGGGUCUAAUACUGGAUACGACAUGUCACCGCAUGGUGGUGUGUGGAAAGGGAUUUACUGGUUUUGGAUGGGCUCACGGCCUAUCAGCUGGUUGGCGGGGUAAUGGCCCACCAAGGCGACGACGGGUAGCCGGCCUGAGAGGGUGACCGGCCACACUGGGACUGAGAGACGGCGCAGAGGCCUACGGGAGGCAGCAGUGGGGAAUCUUGCACAAUGGGCGGAAGCCUGAUGCAGCGACGCCGCGUGAGGGAUGACGGCCUUCGGGUUGUAAACCUCUUUCAGCACGGAAGAAGCGAAAGUGACGGUACGUGCAGAAGAAGCGCCGGCUAACUACGUG
RNAcentral lists this ribosomal RNA (472 nucleotides) under uncultured bacterium. RNAcentral's name for it is "partial 16S ribosomal RNA". It matches the Rfam family "Bacterial small subunit ribosomal RNA", at positions 28 to 507 of the family's 1533-position model. The record is from RNAcentral.